UGUCAUUUCAAAAGGAGAAUACAACUGUCUUUUUUGCUUUUAUGUUUGUUUGUUUUGAGGGGAGGCAAGCUCACGACGAAAAUAGCAGCACAAAGAAACCUGCAUCAGAUCGAUGUCUUAACCUGUGUGUUGUGAUUUCCAAGGAACGGUUGGAUUUUGAGUUGAGGGACAUGGCUUAGUGAGUACUAUUGGUGAUACGUGGAUGGUUGGACUGGACGAUCUCAAAGGUCUUUUCCAACCUUGGUGAUUCCGUGAUUCUGUGAUUCUCCGUGCCGGCACUCCGCACACAGACGGCUCUCAGAGCUCCCUGUUCUCACGCACGAGGUGGCUCUCAGAGCACGAGGGGACCACAUGGAAAGCUGCAGCCCAGGAGCCGUUAAUGGGCGCUGUUUGCAGAGGGCAGGUGGCCGUGACCCAUGGGGGGUCCUGGUUAUCUUUAUUUAAAACUCCUUUAAGCAGUGUGUGAUAAAUUCUGGGCUGAGGUCUGUUGAGCUGACAUCUUAUCUGUAUUCUUGUUUGUCCCUCAAACAGUAAACAUCCUCUACUCAAGUUAAAAUAACAAGCUCUGUAAUGCUGACUUCGUUCUUUGUUAUUUGCUAACUGAAACCACCGUUAGCAACCCGUGAUGUCUCCGCUGCUUAACUUUUCGUUGUUUUUAUUUGAUAGUGCCAACUUUGUAAGCAGUAUUUUCAGCAGUGUGUUAGCAGGAUGUGCCUUUCAAGCUUAAAUCUCCUUUGAGACAGACACACAACAAAAAUGUAGUUGUCAUCAGGAUUCCUUUUUCAUACCAAUGGAGGUACCCAGUAAGAUCAGUGUAGCACCAGCAAUUGCAAUUCAUAGCAGCUGUGAAGUCAGAUAAAAGAACAAGCAGUCCUGUGCAGCAGGAAUGAUCUCAGCAGGAGUUGCACUUGGACUAGAUAACAUGCUAACCUUUCAUACCAAGUGGAGACAAGGGAGAGACGCUGCUUUAUCAGGCUUCCAUUUCAGGAUCCGUGCAGCCCUUCUGUGGGUUUCUGACCAUCUAAAAUAAAAAUGCAGAUUGAAAAGAAGAUGGAGUCCUACUGUGCUUCCACUGCAGAGCUCUCAGUCUGGUGUCCUCGCUCAGGGACGUGGCUCGCUCUCUCUCCAGCCCAUCUCUUGACACAGAAUCAUUUGUUCAACUUCCAGAGGACAGCAGAAUGAGCUUAGUGUGGCGCCAGGGCCGAUCCGAUCCCAGUAGGACAAAACUCCUUGAUUUAAAUGCUAGGCAUGCUUCUCACCAGAACUUCUAUUCUGUAGCAACAGAGCUUAAACAAAUCAACGGAUGAGCGUUUUCAGAGUAGUGGUGUCUUAUAAUUCCUUUGGCUUAUCACAUCAGUUCUGUAUAAACUGAAGCGAAUGUAUAAAUUUGGCCUCUCAAGCAUCUUAGUGUUUAACUUCAAUUCGAUUAAACACUUAUGUAUGUGUACAAAGUGAAAAAUGAGGUUACAAGAGGUUAGUGCUUUAAUGCUUUUAAUAACUCUUAAGCACAUGACUGUAUUUUGUCAAACAGAACAUGGAUUUGUUCUAGCAGGAAAAAUACAUGCUAGAUAGAUAUAAAUUGAGGCUCUCCAAAACAGUAAAGCUGCUAUAGAACCAAACCCACUUCUGGGCCAUCUUGGUAAAAUCACCAAUAGCAUUUCUGUGGUGGAAUAAACACAUAAGUGUUUCUGAGUAUCUUUCAUUAGGAGGCUCAAGCACGCAGUUGGAAAAUCUGAAAGAACUCUGGGCAGACCAGAGAAGCAGAGGAAGGGCAAUUAAAGGGCUUGAUAUCAGACACAACACUGAAUUCUCAGCACUGAAGCUGGGAUGAAUUCAGGUCCUGAGGAUUCCAAAACAAUGUGCACCAAGUAAGGCCCUUGACGUACCCAGAAACUGGCAGCAAAGUAAAUAAUUCAUAAUAAUGUAUUAAUUCAAACUGAAAGGCACUGCCUGAUGAAUUUCCCUGACCAGUCUCACGCUCCUUCCCCUGCUGAAACAGAUUGUUUUGCUCUAUGAAGACUGCUAGUCUUUAAUUUAUGCAAAUAAAUAACACUGCUUCAAAAAGCUCCUUGUAGGGAAGAUAAGAGCUGUGCAAACCAGUGCUCAAAGGAAAUGUCACACACACUUUGUGAAGCUGCAGAAAUUAGCACAUUUAAAACAUGUGAACUUAUCAUACAAAGAGCACAUAUAUAUAUUAAUAUUAUUAGAAGUGUUACACUGGAUCUUAAGCAAUUUAGUCCAACCAAUGAGGCUGUAUUCAGGACAAGACAGGCACUGACCCUUUGUACUCAAUUCGGUAGUUAAAAGUGUUCAGACAAAGGUGAUCCCUGUUGCAGGCAAAAGAGGCAGAUGCUGACAACAGAAAUGCGUCCCUCAAACAUCUUGAUUAAUUACACUUUAGAAUAACAACCACCUAAACUGGUUUUCACUCAGGGCUGAGGCUCAUCCAUGCCAUGCAGAAAGCAGUGCCAGAACCACUGCAUCUUUUGAAGAUUAACAAAUUAUCUACAAGAGAAGGUAAUCAGAAAACUUGCCAUUUCUUUCUUUUUUUGUAUGUCUGCCAGUCCACCUCUAAAAUAUUUCUCUAGAACAAAAAUAGGUAAAGGUUAACUUAGAACAUUUUAGCACAUCUGAUUUUUUGGUUGAUACUCUUUUUAAUACUAUUCAGAACAGUUUGCUAGCAAGAACAACUCAAUCCUGUAAUGAAAUAACCUAUAUUUCAACGUAACCUUUAACUCACAUAUAACAAAGAACACUGUAAUAAGCAAUUAGUUUUCCAAAGUAUCCCAUUUGUUUAGUAUUUGACUCUUGCUUUCAUCAUUUAAUGAUUUACAGUAAUGAACUGGAACAUCGGUAUUUUGCACUGAAAUGACCAAAAUAGUUGUGGAGGCAUCAUUGCCCUCAUGUGACAGACCUCAGAUGUUUUUGUGAGAAGUUAGCCAAAAGCAAUAGACAGUGCCAUCGCUUCUGUUUAAUUUGUACUGCAAAACAACAACAAAGUGGCCAUAACGACUU
Molecule: long non-coding RNA, 3015 nt
Organism: Centrocercus urophasianus (Greater sage-grouse)
Lineage: Eukaryota; Metazoa; Chordata; Aves; Galliformes; Phasianidae
Exons: 3
Source: RefSeq, a predicted model, not a curated record